AUCACUAAUCAAAGAGCAUUUGGUGAAUGCAGCUUUGCGCAUCCUUUGGUAAAGUUAGUACUGUUAAGGUAGGAAAACCAGAGGCUUUGGGAUUCUUGAGGUAAGGAGGAGGAUUUGACAGGGAAAUCUGGAGACAUCUAAGCAAGGCAACAUUGGAGAGGCUGUAGCAGCAGAACUCCGGGCGCUGUGCCAAUUGCUCCUACUGUGCUAACGACAGCAGGAGGACAAAGCCUCAACAAAGCCCAGACACCUCUACCUUUUCAGGUAGUAUUUUAAAGGUAGGUUUUACAAGAUGGAUAUUUUUGUGUUGCUUUUUUUGAUGAGAAACAAAUAAAAGGCUUCCUUGUUCAAGAAGCAAUACAUUCGAACUCUGCCACUUAAGCAGGUGUAAAAUUAGAACGACAGAGGGGUCUGGAAUAUUUCUGCCACCAGCUCUUUGACACCUGUUGACCAAUCAUUCAGAGGAAACCUUGGGAGUUGAAGACACUCCAGUUCCGAGGACAUUCCUUCCCGAAAUAGGUUUUAUCAAAUUGCUGUGGCAAAAGAAGCAACAGGGUGGGCAGACUCCCGGCUGCGUGGCUCCGCUACUGUCCCUAACGGUUGGCAUUUUGUCAGUGUCUAAAUCCUCUGUUGCUCCAACAGCUGAUUU
RNAcentral lists this long non-coding RNA (649 nucleotides) under Mus musculus (house mouse). RNAcentral's name for it is "predicted gene 45418". Lineage: Eukaryota; Metazoa; Chordata; Mammalia; Rodentia; Muridae. The record is from RNAcentral.